CAGCCGCCGCGGGAAUACGAAGGGUGCAAGCGUUAAUCGGAAUUACUGGGCGUAAAGCGCGCGUAGGUGGUUCAUUAAGUUGGAUGUGAAAGCCCUGGGCUCAACCUGGGAACUGCAUCCAAAACUGGUGAGCUAGAGUACGGUAGAGGGUAGUGGAAUUUCCUGUGUAGCGGUGAAAUGCGUAGAUAUAGGAAGGAACACCAGUGGCGAAGGCGACUACCUGGACUGAUACUGACGCUGAGGUGCGAAAGCGUGGGGAGCAAACAGGAUUAGAUACCCCCGUAGUCCCUGUCUCUUAUAC
This 301-nucleotide ribosomal RNA is filed under the name uncultured bacterium. Its description in RNAcentral is "partial 16S ribosomal RNA". It matches the Rfam family "Bacterial small subunit ribosomal RNA", at positions 509 to 807 of the family's 1533-position model. The record is from RNAcentral.